Molecule: non-coding RNA, 28 nt
Filed under: Rattus norvegicus (Norway rat)
Lineage: Eukaryota; Metazoa; Chordata; Mammalia; Rodentia; Muridae
Source: RNAcentral
UAUAUCUAAGGGUAUGGCAGAUGAUAUG